Molecule: ribosomal RNA, 225 nt
Filed under: uncultured bacterium
Lineage: Bacteria
Description: partial 16S ribosomal RNA
Rfam family: Bacterial small subunit ribosomal RNA
Source: RNAcentral
AGUAACGCGUGGAUAACCUGCCUCACACUGGGGGAUAACAGUUAGAAAUGACUGCUAAUACCGCAUAAGCGCACAGUACCGCAUGGUACAGUGUGAAAAACUCCGGUGGUGUGAGAUGGAUCCGCGUCUGAUUAGCCAGUUGGCGGGGUAACGGCCCACCAAAGCGACGAUCAGUAGCCGACCUGAGAGGGUGACCGGCCACAUUGGGGCUGAGACACGGCCCAA